AUGUCUCUGUUGUGUCCAGGAGACUGUGUGAGGAAGGCGAGAAUGUCUCCCGUGCUGUCCAUCUCCUGCCUCACUAGGGGAGCCAAAAUCUUGUCCCCUGAGGUGCUGGGUGUCCAGCUGUCAGGGCUGACUAGUGAUGCUUUUGCAGCAACCAUGGCGACUUUUGUGGAACUCAGCACCAAAGCCAAGAUGCCCAUUGUAGGCCUGGGGACCCGGCAGUAAAUGUGCAAAUCUGGGAGUCCCUGCUUUGUUGGAGAGCUUUGGGGAGACUUUCUCUUUUCUGCGUUGAGUUACACCUGGCAAUAUGAGAGGUGCACUUCUACCCUACAGCCAGUACCUUAGCUGCUUUCAUUUUUUUUAGGACUCUUUUAUGCUGCAGAUCACAAAGACUGG
This 393-nucleotide long non-coding RNA is filed under the name Chinchilla lanigera (long-tailed chinchilla). RNAcentral describes it as "lncRNA (ENSCLAG00000026990.1)". Lineage: Eukaryota; Metazoa; Chordata; Mammalia; Rodentia; Chinchillidae. The record is from RNAcentral.